CCUACGGGAUGCACCAGUGGGGAAUAUUGCACAAUGGGCGAAAGCCUGAUGCAGCGACGCCGCGUGAGGGAUGACGGCCUUCGGGUUGUAAACCUCUUUCAGCAGGGACGAAGCGCGAGUGACGGUACCUGCAGAAGAAGCACCGGCUAACUACGUGCCAGCAGCCGCGGUAAUACGUAGGGUGCGAGCGUUGUCCGGAAUUAUUGGGCGUAAAGAGCUCGUAGGCGGUUUGUCGCGUCGGCCGUGAAAACUUGGGGCUUAACCCCGAGCCUGCGGUCGAUACGGGCAGACUUGAGUUCGGCAGGGGAGACUGGAAUUCCUGGUGUAGCGGUGAAAUGCGCAGAUAUCAGGAGGAACACCGGUGGCGAAGGCGGGUCUCUGGGCCGAUACUGACGCUGAGGGGCGAAAGCGUGGGGAGCGAACAGGAUUAGAUACCCUUGUAGUC
RNAcentral lists this ribosomal RNA (445 nucleotides) under uncultured bacterium. RNAcentral's name for it is "bacterial SSU rRNA". It matches the Rfam family "Bacterial small subunit ribosomal RNA", at positions 338 to 795 of the family's 1533-position model. The record is from RNAcentral.